Molecule: small RNA, 810 nt
Filed under: uncultured Schizothecium
Lineage: Eukaryota; Fungi; Ascomycota; Sordariomycetes; Sordariales; Lasiosphaeriaceae
Description: eukaryotic LSU rRNA
Rfam family: Eukaryotic large subunit ribosomal RNA (bases 536-810)
Source: RNAcentral
CUUGGUCAUUUAGAGGAAGUAAAAGUCGUAACAAGGUCUCCGUUGGUGAACCAGCGGAGGGAUCAUUACAGAGUUGCAAAACUCCCAACCAUUGUGAACCUACCUUACCGUUGCUUCGGCGGGUGGCCCCUACCGGGGCCGCGCCGGCCCCAGGGCCGGCAACCCGUCAGAGGACCGAAACUCUUAGUCAUCAUUGGCCUCUCUGAGUAGCUUAUACAAUAAGUUAAAACUUUCAACAACGGAUCUCUUGGUUCUGGCAUCGAUGAAGAACGCAGCGAAAUGCGAUACGUAAUGUGAAUUGCAGAUUUCAGUGAAUCAUCGAAUCUUUGAACGCACAUUGCGCCCGCCAGUAUUCUGGCGGGCAUGCCUGUUCGAGCGUCAUUUCAACCAUCAAGCGCCUCGCUUGUGUUGGGGCCCUGCGGCUGCCGCAGGCCCCCAAAUCCAGUGGCGGGCUCGUCGUCGUACCGAGUGCAGUAAACAUCCUCGCUCAGGGAACCCGACGGGUGCCGGCCGUGAAACCCCCCCUCCUUAAGGUUGACCUCGGAUCAGGUAGGAAUACCCGCUGAACUUAAGCAUAUCAAUAAGCGGAGGAAAAGAAACCAACAGGGAUUGCCCCAGUAACGGCGAGUGAAGCGGCAACAGCUCAAAUUUGAAAUCUGGCCUCGGCCCGAGUUGUAAUUUGCAGAGGAAGCUUCUGGUGCGGCGCCGUCCGAGUCUCCUGGAACGGAGCGCCAUAGAGGGUGAGAGCCCCGUAUGGACGGACGCCAAACCUGUGUGAAGCUCCUUCGACGAGUCGAGUUGUUUGGGAAU